Molecule: ribosomal RNA, 519 nt
Filed under: Macaca brunnescens
Lineage: Eukaryota; Metazoa; Chordata; Mammalia; Primates; Cercopithecidae
Description: partial 12S ribosomal RNA
Rfam family: Bacterial small subunit ribosomal RNA
Source: RNAcentral
ACUAUGCUUGGCCCUAAACCUCAGUAGUUAAACAACAAAACUACUCGCCAGAAUACUACGAGCAACAGCUUAAAACUCAAAGGACUUGACGGUGCUUUACAUCCCCCUAGAGGAGCCUGUUCCAUAAUCGAUAAACCCCGAUCCACCUCACCCUCUCUUGCUUAGCCUAUAUACCGCCAUCUUCAGCAAACCCUGAUAAAGGUUACAAAGUGAGCACAAACGCCCUGCCGCCGCAAAAACGUUAGGUCAAGGUGUAGCCAAUGAGAGGGUAAAAAUGGGCUACAUUUUCUACAUCAGAAAACUCCACGAAAACUCUUAUGAAACCUGAGGGUCCAAGGAGGAUUUAGCAGUAAAUUAAGAAUAGAGUGCUUAAUUGAACCAGGCCAUAAAGCGCGUACACACCGCCCGUCACUCCCCUCAAAUAUAUUUAAAGAACAUCUUAACUAAACGUCCUAAUAUUUAUAUAGAGGGGAUAAGUCGUAACAUGGUAAGUGUACUGGAAGGUGCACUUGGACAAAC